GACGAACGCUGGCGGCGUGCUUAACACAUGCAAGUCGAACGGAAAGGCCCUGCUUUUGUGGGGUGCUCGAGUGGCGAACGGGUGAGUAACACGUGAGUAACCUGCCCUUGACUUUGGGAUAACUUCAGGAAACUGGGGCUAAUACCGGAUAGGAGCUCCUGCUGCAUGGUGGGGGUUGGAAAGUUUCGGCGGCUGGGGAUGGACUCGCGGCUUAUCAGCUUGUUGGUGGGGUAGUGGCUUACCAAGGCUUUGACGGGUAGCCGGCCAGAGAGGGUGACCGGCCACAUUGGGACUGAGAUACGGCCCAGACUCCUACGGGAGGCAGCAGUGGGGAAUAUUGCACAAUGGGCGGAAGCCUGAUGCAGCAACGCCGCGUGCGGGAUGACGGCCUUCGGGUUGUAAACCGCUUUCGCCUGUGACGAAGCGUGAGUGACGGUAAUGGGUAAAGAAGCACCGGCUAACUACGU
Molecule: ribosomal RNA, 467 nt
Filed under: uncultured bacterium
Lineage: Bacteria
Description: partial 16S ribosomal RNA
Rfam family: Bacterial small subunit ribosomal RNA
Source: RNAcentral